UGGGGAAUUGUUCGCAAUGGGCGCAAGCCUGACGACGCAACGCCGCGUGGAGGAUGAAGGUCUUCGGAUUGUAAACUCCUGUUGAUCGGGAAGAAUGGACUUCGGGUUAAUACUCCGGGGUAAUGACGGUACCGAUUGAGGAAGCCACGGCUAACUCUGUGCCAGCAGCCGCGGUAAUACAGAGGUGGCAAGCGUUGUUCGGAAUUACUGGGCGUAAAGGGCGCGUAGGCGGCCUUCUAAGUCAGACGUGAAAUCCCCAGGCUUAACUUGGGAACUGCGUCUGAUACUGGGAGGCUUGAGUGCGGGAGAGGGAUGUGGAAUUCCAGGUGUAGCGGUGAAAUGCGUAGAUAUCUGGAGGAACACCGGUGGCGAAGGCGGCAUCCUGGACCGACACUGACGCUGAGGCGCGAAAGCUAGGGGAGCAAAC
Molecule: ribosomal RNA, 427 nt
Filed under: uncultured bacterium
Lineage: Bacteria
Description: bacterial SSU rRNA
Rfam family: Bacterial small subunit ribosomal RNA
Source: RNAcentral